CUUAAGAAUAGGGUCCUGAUUCAACUAUGAUUUUUAUUUGUUUGACUGAUUUCCUUUUGGAUAAUGAAGGUAUCUUUAGUCACCAUAUCUUCUGAGACAUUUGUGGAAAAAAAAUUUUAACAAAAGAAUAAUGGAAAUCUGAAGGCCUGGCAUGGUAGCUCAUUCCUGUAAUCUCAGUUCUUUGGAAGGCUGAGACAGGAGGAUCGCUUGAGGUCAGGAGUUCAAGACCAGCCUGGGCAAUACAAUGAGACCUCGUCUCUGCAAAAAUAAAAAAUAAAAACUAUCCAGGUGAGGUAGCACACAUCUGUAGUCCCAGCUCCUUGGAAAGUUGAAGCAGGAGGCUUGCUUGAGCCCAGGGCUUUGAGGGGUGACCUGAGACAGGAUUAAUGGCAUCAAACUGAAUAUAACCUGUUUGGAAAACAGAACGUUUUAGCAUUUCCUCUCACUUUAUACUUUACCACAAUUAGAGGAUGCAAGUUGGGAAAUCUGCAUCAUAGUUUCCCUGGAGAAGCAAAAGGAUAUAAAGAAUGAAACAACUUACAUAGUGAGAUGAUUAGAAGAGUAAGAAAACCAUGCAGAAGCCCUGAAGUAUCAGAGCUACAUCUUCGCAAAAUGGCAUGGCAUUAUACUCUAAGAAAAUUUUGAGGCUUAAUUUCACCCAUUAUCAGGUAAAAUCAAAAUUAUUUUAAGCAGUGAUUAUCAACAUAUACAAUUAAUAAGAUUAACAAUUAAUAUUUGGGUGUCUUUAUUUUGUUCUAGUCUUUCCCCCAGAACAGUAUCACUAUUCAUUAUAAAUGGUUCAAGGAUAUAAUUUGUCAUUUUAACAUGUAAUUUUUUGUUGUAUUUAUAAAAUUUGAAAGUAUGAGGAAGUGUGGAUUCUAACACUAGUCUCAGUUAACUAUGGUUAUAACCAUAUCCAUUCAUUUGGACCAUGAAGUGUUGUAAAGCUAUCACUAUGCACCUGUUGAUAAUUUAUCUGAAUUGCAGACACAGCUUGUGGGAAGAGGAAAAGUAUCCAUAUUUAUUUGCUUGGCAAACCCAAAACUCAGAAAAAAUACCGAUAGUCCUUAUAGAAAUGCUAUGGCUGUAUGUCUAGCAUGAUACUAUAAACAAAUAGGUGAUUACCUAAAGCCCCCAUGGCCAACAGGACUGUGAGAAAUAAAUUUGGAGGUGAGAUUACAUGGCUGACUUGGAUCCGCUAGGGAACAUACAACUCUCGCAAAAUUAUGCAGUGAGACUUUGAGUGGUAGCUUUGGAAUAACUAGUACUUCCAUUUUCGACAUUUGGCUAUUUUAAACCUAGCUUUCUCUGAUACCAAAUGCCUGAAGGGUUCUACAAAAACAUUUAACAUAUUUUAAAUGCAGUAGCUUUACAAAUACUUGAUAAUUUUUUACAAAUACUUGAUAAUUUAAAUUAUAAACUUCAGAUACACUUCAUAACUCCUUCACAGCUCUGAAUUCCAUACUGUAUCUGGUUUUGUUUUAUAUAUCAUCUGAAAUUUAAAGACACUUUCAUCAUGUUUGAAGUAAAAUAAUUAAUGAAAUGUACACAAACAGUAUUCUCUAAGGCAUUUCUAACCAAUCAUCAAGGAUGGCAUACAACAUGUUUCUUAAAAGUGUUAUGAUAGCAUAUUAUUCUAAAUUUGGUUACUCCCAGAGAGUCUAAAGGAACAUUACCAAAGGAUAUAGCUCAAUGAGUAUGCAGCCUUAAAUAACUGAAUAAUUUAGUUAUGAUUUAACCCAAUAAAAUCACUGUCCUAAAUUACCAUAUACUAUGUGGCUUUUCUACCAAGAAGUUCUAAGGUGCAUGGGAUAAGUGUGAAGAAGCAGUCUUACGUACGGCAUAUUGUCCCAGACCUCUAAGCCCAAUUUGCCCCCAAAUUCAGUACUUAACUCUGAUGAAGUAUACUGAAUCCAAAAUAUUGACAUCCUCAUUUUAAAAAUCCCCAUAACUUAAUAUCAAUAAGCACAUAUGAUGAGUUAUGAGAUAGCAAUCUAGUAAUUCCAAGGCCAAAUUCUUAUAGCAAGCUAUGCAUAUUUCUAAUGCUGAUACUCACUCCUGUGUUUUGCAUGCUUGACCUUGUGCAGUAACUCCUUAGUGCAAGGUCAAGCACCUCACUAUGUUGUUUCAAAAGAAGAAUCCAUUAGGCAAAUUGGGCAAAAAUUUGUUGGAGGAAACAAACAGAAGCAGAGUCUGAGAAUGGUCUGAAUGGAGGAGUCAUGGUUGGAGUCAGAGAGCAAUGAGAAAACCCAGAGAUCAUGAAAAGGGCUGUGCCUACUCUGAUCUAAAUAAAAAGAGAUUUCCUGACUUUUAAGAAAAUCUGCAUUUUUAACACCAUUAUUUUAUCCUCAUAAUACUACAUUCUAGAUUCUUAAGGAGGAAUGAACAAUACUCCUCUCCCAAUUUUCCUAUCUGUAUAACUCACCAACUUGACAUAAUAUACAUCAAGGAAUUAUUUUUUCAAACAGUAAAUUAUUGAUCCAGUGACCAAAAGAAGUUCCUAAAAGAGUUUAACAUUCACCCAAGGAGUAAUUUGUUAUACUGGAGAACCAUGGAAGAACUUUCUAAAUCAGUGUGAUUUACAGAAAUACAUAUUUUGUAUUUAUAUUACAUGAGCUGAAAGUACCACGCUGGCAAUUCACAGAAGCUGUCUUUAUAAACAAAGUGAAGUGUCUCCCAUC
RNAcentral lists this long non-coding RNA (2681 nucleotides) under Homo sapiens (human). RNAcentral describes it as "HSALNT0219812". The stretch from base 17 to 100 matches the Rfam family "Small nucleolar RNA SNORD11". The record is from RNAcentral. Lineage: Eukaryota; Metazoa; Chordata; Mammalia; Primates; Hominidae.